This 225-nucleotide long non-coding RNA is filed under the name Lathyrus oleraceus (garden pea). RNAcentral's name for it is "Pisum sativum (pea) long non-coding RNA (PSAT_LNC018419)". The record is from RNAcentral. Lineage: Eukaryota; Viridiplantae; Streptophyta; Magnoliopsida; Fabales; Fabaceae.
UUUGUUUAUUUCCUUUGUGUUCAAUAGUUGUAUGAGUUGAGUUUGAUGGUUGGCUAUUUGUGAUUUAUUAAGUGAUAUCAAUUUAUUAUGAACCCAUUAAUGAUCUUGGCAUAUAUGUAUGAAUUAAGAAAAGAUAUAAAUUGAAUUAGAAUAAAUGAAUGAGUUUGUUAUUAGAUUUAUAUGUGAGCGUAGUAAUGUCAGUGUGUGAAUAAAUAUGCAUAUAAA